This 497-nucleotide ribosomal RNA is filed under the name uncultured bacterium. RNAcentral's name for it is "partial 16S ribosomal RNA". It matches the Rfam family "Bacterial small subunit ribosomal RNA", at positions 28 to 507 of the family's 1533-position model. The record is from RNAcentral.
GAUGAACGCUGGCGGCGGGCCUAAUACAUGCAAGUCGAGCGAACAGACGAGGAGCUUGCACCUCUGACGUUAGCGGCGGACGGGUUAGUCACACGUGGAUAACCUAUCUAUAAGACUGGGAUAACUUCGGGAAACCGGAGCUAGUACCGGGUAAUAUAUUGAACCGAUUGGUUCAAGAGGGAAAGACGGUUUUGCUGUCUCUUAUAGAUGGAUCCGCGCCGCAUUAGCUAGUUGGUAAGGUAACGGCAUACCAAGGCAACGAUGGUUAGCGGCCCUGAGAGCGUGAACGGCUAGCCUGGAACAGAGGAACAGCACAGACUCCUACGGGAAGCAGCAGCAGAGAAUCUUACGCGAGGCGGGAAAGCCUGACAGAGCAACGCCGCGUGAGUGAUGAACGUCUUAGGAUGGUAAAGCUCUGUUAGUCGGGAAGAACAAAUGUGUAAGUACCUAUGCACAUAUUGACGGUAGCUGGUGAGAAAGCCACGGCUAACUACGUG